Long non-coding RNA from Halichondria panicea, 2784 nucleotides. RefSeq lists it as uncharacterized. The transcript is spliced from 4 exons. The record is from RefSeq and is a predicted model, not a curated record. Lineage: Eukaryota; Metazoa; Porifera; Demospongiae; Suberitida; Halichondriidae.
CGUUCAAAUGCAGUUGUCUGGGGAUAUGGCUGCCAACAGGGAAGCUCAGAGGAAGGCUACACUCAAUGAAGGUGAUGCAAAUUCAAUACUGAAAGUUAGAGUGUACAACAGAUGUACAUGUACUUACGUGGUCAUAAUCAAAUAGAAGCAUUUCCCACAAAGUACAGUUACGAAGCUUUAACAUCAAAUCUGCCACUUCUAAAACUAGUGUUCAAGCUGGCGCUGUGCUAAUGCCUCUCGCCAUGUUUUUGCUUUCGCUCAAAAGUAUUAGAGUGUUAUCUAUAAUGAAUUUUAUAUUAAAGUUAGCUUAUCUAUAUAAAGUCACUGAGAAGAAAAGACUUAUUUACAUGCAUCUAUUGUUAUUAUUUAUUGUAUUAUGUGGCUUACCAGGACCUCAAGAAAGAAGAAAAUUGAUUCUUCCAGGAUCUGUAGUUCAGUGUAUAUAAUAUCUAAGAAGAAAAGACCUGUGUACAUGCAUAUUGUUAUCUAUAUAGUUAUAUGGUAGUGUUUUGUGGCUAAUACCAGGCCCUCAAGACAAAGAUGAUUCUGCCAGGAGGAUCUGGAUCUUGGAUAUCACACAUGGGGAAUGAGCGCGCAUGCGCAUUACAUCCACAGGAAUAAUUAAAGGGUGUGUCCAAAGAGAUAAAUGGCUGCUGCUAGCUAGCUGUUUUAACAGAUAUUUUCUGAGUAUUGUAGCUAACAAAAAGCUAGCGCUUUAGUGCAAGGCUAACUCAUAUAUUGAAUAGAAAGUUUGUGAGGACAGAUGAUGCUAUGAAAGAUUCUGAAGAGACUGCAACAGCCUUCAAUGUGAGUCAAACUAGCCAUAACUGGAGAAAGAAGCUUUAGUUUGCUAAUCCAAGAUCAUAAUCCAAGAGAACGUGGCUAGAAGCCUAUAGAAGCUGUUAGUUUUCGUCGCAUUGCAACCGUUGAGCAGUUAUAGCUGGAAUACACAGACAGACAGACAGACAGACACACACACAGUCAGCUUUACCGUAUCUCUCGUGCGGCUACGCCUCGAGGCAUAACUAAUAACUUGUUUUGUAGAGGCUAUCUAAUGCUGUAAACGCAUUCUUAAUUAUUAAUUAUGCCUUGGUUUUUAUACUGUACAGUGGUGUACGUGUGUGUGUGUGAGGUCAAGGUUCAUUCAUUUUGCCAAUUGGCUCAGCUUCAUUGUACAUGCCCUAAACACGAUAAUUACCAGUUGUUGUUGUUCUUCCCACGCCCAGUUGAGCGUUGUUGGCGUCGGGACAGGAUCAACGAGCUCAUCAAGAUACUGGCUCAGAUAGUGCCUGCUUGUCAGAAGAAAGACGCAACUAUACUGGUUCCAUUGUCGGGUAUGUGUUCAGCAAGGGAACGAUACUGGACAAGACAGUGGACUACUUGAAAAAGCUCGUAUUUCAAUCCUCUCAACAAUAGUGUAUAGUAUAUUAUAAUAUAAUAAUAAUAGUAUAUCCUCCAUUGCGAGCACGACCACUUCUCCGUCCACUCCUGUACCGAAAUCCUCCAUGCUGUCACAAGCCAACAACAAUGGUGAUGGUGGUGGUGGUGGUGGUCUCUCUGCCGCGGCUGCUGCUAGUCUGCUCAACACUCUGAUUCUGGCUCAGAAUGUGCUCACAAGCAACUCAAGUGCUGGUAGCCCCGGGCAAGAUUCAAUGUCUAUGGAAACGGUGGACCAAUCCUCUCAACAGUAUUAUAAUUGUGGACUGUUUAUACUGUUCUAGUUUUAACGUGUGUUUUUUAGUAAUCUCUCCUUCACUUACUAUAGCUACAUUGUCAGUAUUAUUAUGUAUACAUAGUUUUUAUACAUGAUAUUUGUGUGGAGCUCUUUGAGAAAAAUAUUGUAGCCAAGCCCAUUUAUAUGUAACCACGCCCAUUAUAAUUAUGUGCAGCCUAGCCUCCAUCUCAAGCGGCACUUCCUAGAAAGUUGGCCUGGUAAUCGACUGCUUGUGCAUGAGCUAACCAUUAGCUGGCAUUGAGAAGAACCUUCAUCAAGAACAAGGUACGUGUGUAUAAUGUGUAGUUAUGCAGUGCAAUGAGUUGACUGUGUACUAUUGAAUGUACAGUACAAAGAAUGGGAACCUAGCAUGCUUACUAGUCUGUAUGCACUUGUAUACAAGGUAUGCUUCAAUGUAUGCAGUUUAGGUGUGUACAGGGAAACGUGUGUCAAUUGAGAACACUAGCUCACAAUAUUUGUACAUGACAUUGUACAGUACGUGUACCAGACCCUUCAUCACACUACCAGUUUGAAUGUGUCCAUGUGUUGUUUAUCCUGGCUACAGGACACUGCCGAGGGUAGCACUUCAGUGCUCUAGUUCUAAUUGUAGAUUGACUGAUCAAUUUGUCUUCUGUACUAUUGUUUGAUUUUUCCGCCCCUCAUCUUUUCCGGCCCCCAGUUAUGCGGCCAUUUUUCAGCCCGACCAAGUGUUGAGGAGACAAGAAGAGGCACUGAGAAUGGAGGUAGAGGCGUACUAUGCUGCUAAGAAGGCCACUCAGUGUGACUAUGACCGUGUGACUCUUUAACCCCUCAGUUCCAUUAGGAUAACUGGGGGCCGGAAAAGAUAAGCCUACUAUGCUGCUAAGAAAGAGAGGGGCCUCACGUAAACUGGCCACUCAGUGUGACUAUGAUCAUGUGACUCUUUAACCCCUCAGUUCCCGAGCCCCACCCCUCACUGUCUGACUCGGAAGAGGAGAUAGACUUUGUAUUCUGGGAGAAGGCGUCCACCCUACCCUCGGACAAGACCCCAACCAAGGACCUGAACUUGUUAUGAGACUGUUAAAUAUUAU